This 344-nucleotide ribosomal RNA is filed under the name uncultured bacterium. RNAcentral's name for it is "bacterial SSU rRNA". It matches the Rfam family "Bacterial small subunit ribosomal RNA", at positions 22 to 356 of the family's 1533-position model. The record is from RNAcentral.
GCUCAGGAUGAACGCUGGCGGCGUGCCUAAUACAUGCAAGUAGAACGCCGAAGACUUUAGCUUGCUAAAGUUGGAAGAGUUGCGAACGGGUGAGUAACGCGUAGGUAACCUGCCUACUAGCGGGGGAUAACUAUUGGAAACGAUAGCUAAUACCGCAUAACAGCAUUUAACCCAUGUUAGAUGCUUGAAAGGAGCAAUUGCUUCACUAGUAGAUGGACCUGCGUUGUAUUAGCUAGUUGGUGAGGUAACGGCUCACCAAGGCGACGAUACAUAGCCGACCUGAGAGGGUGAUCGGCCACACUGGGACUGAGACACGGCCCAGACUCCUACGGGAGGCAGCAGUA